This is a long non-coding RNA of Lycium ferocissimum, 473 nucleotides long. RefSeq lists it as uncharacterized. The transcript has 2 exons. The record is from RefSeq and is a predicted model, not a curated record. Lineage: Eukaryota; Viridiplantae; Streptophyta; Magnoliopsida; Solanales; Solanaceae.
UUGAAUAUGGCAUAAAGCAAAACAAGUAAGGACUUCAAUGCAAUAUGAUAAGAAAAAUCACGUGAGCAAUAUUAAAGAGGAUUACUUUUAAUGCUAAGGAAUAGUUGGAAAUUCUUGCCAUUAAUUCAUGACACUUAUUUUGGAGAAUUUGCUUUCAAAAGGGAAAUGAAGAUUAAUGAUUUGUUUGGGAUCCAUUUUGCCAAAAAAAGGUGGGUGGAGUAAUAAUUGAUUCAACGAACAGGAUUAUUCAGGUGGACACGCAAUUGAUUUUUCUUUUGUAAUAUUUAAAAAUCUCUUCUACUUGGUCCAUAUGGACUUCACCGUGUUAUAUUUGGACAUGAUUUUUACUUUAUUUGCUUAUUGUUGUAUGUUCUUCGUAAGAUGAAUGUGACAGUUCACAGUUGAAAGACUUUAGUACGUAACGAAAUGUUCAGGGGACUGGUUAUUAAUUAGCAAGUGUAUCUUCCUUGUCA